GUCAGGUGUGGUGGCACACACCUGUAAUCCUAGUAGCUUGGGAGGCUGAGGCAGGAGGAUCCUGAGUUCAAAGCCAGCCUCAGAAAAAUCGAGGCACUAAGCAACUCAGUGAGACCCUAUCUCUA
RNAcentral lists this small RNA (125 nucleotides) under Marmota monax (woodchuck). The record is from RNAcentral. Lineage: Eukaryota; Metazoa; Chordata; Mammalia; Rodentia; Sciuridae.